RNAcentral lists this ribosomal RNA (1447 nucleotides) under metagenome. Its description in RNAcentral is "bacterial SSU rRNA". It matches the Rfam family "Bacterial small subunit ribosomal RNA". The record is from RNAcentral.
AGAGUUUGAUCCUGGCUCAGGAUGAACGCUGGCGGUAUGCUUAACACAUGCAAGUCGAACGGUGUCUUCGGACACAGUGGCGGACGGGUGAGUAACGCGUGAGAAUCUGGCUCUAGGUCUGGGACAACCACUGGAAACGGUGGCUAAUACCGGAUGUGCCGAGAGGUGAAAGGUUAACUGCCUAGAGAUGAGCUCGCGUCUGAUUAGCUAGUAGGUAGUGUAAUGGACUACCUAGGCGACGAUCAGUAGCUGGUCUGAGAGGACGAUCAGCCACACUGGGACUGAGACACGGCCCAGACUCCUACGGGAGGCAGCAGUGGGGAAUUUUCCGCAAUGGGCGAAAGCCUGACGGAGCAAUACCGCGUGAGGGAGGAAGGCUCUUGGGUCGUAAACCUCUUUUCUCAGGGAAGAACACAAUGACGGUACCUGAGGAAUAAGCAUCGGCUAACUCCGUGCCAGCAGCCGCGGUAAUACGGAGGAUGCAAGCGUUAUCCGGAAUGAUUGGGCGUAAAGCGUCCGCAGGUGGCAAUGUAAGUCUGCUGUUAAAGAGUCUAGCUCAACUAGAUACAAGCAGUGGAAACUACAUAGCUAGAGUACGUUCGGGGCAGAGGGAAUUCCUGGUGUAGCGGUGAAAUGCGUAGAGAUCAGGAAGAACACCGGUGGCGAAGGCGCUCUGCUAGGCCGUAACUGACACUGAGGGACGAAAGCUAGGGGAGCGAAUGGGAUUAGAUACCCCAGUAGUCCUAGCCGUAAACGAUGGAUACUAGGCGUGGCUUGUAUCGACCCGAGCCGUGCCGUAGCUAACGCGUUAAGUAUCCCGCCUGGGGAGUACGCCGGCAACGGUGAAACUCAAAGGAAUUGACGGGGGCCCGCACAAGCGGUGGAGUAUGUGGUUUAAUUCGAUGCAACGCGAAGAACCUUACCAAGGCUUGACAUGUCGCGAAUCCUGGUGAAAGCCGGGAGUGCCUUCGGGAGCGCGAACACAGGUGGUGCAUGGCUGUCGUCAGCUCGUGUCGUGAGAUGUUGGGUUAAGUCCCGCAACGAGCGCAACCCUCGUUUUUAGUUGCCAGCAUUAAGUUGGGCACUCUAGAGAGACUGCCGGUGACAAACCGGAGGAAGGUGGGGAUGACGUCAAGUCAGCAUGCCCCUUACGCCUUGGGCUACACACGUACUACAAUGCUCCGGACAGAGGGCAGCAAGCAUGCGAAUGCAAGCAAAUCCCGUAAACCGGAGCUCAGUUCAGAUCGCAGGCUGCAACUCGCCUGCGUGAAGGAGGAAUCGCUAGUAAUUGCAGGUCAGCAUACUGCAGUGGAUUCGUUCCCGGGCCUUGUACACACCGCCCGUCACACCAUGGAAGCUGGUAGUGCCCGAAGUCAUUACUCCAACCUUUCGGGGAGGAGGAUGCCUAAGGCAGGACUGGUGACUGGGGUGAAGUCGUAACAAGGUA